UGGGGAAACCCAGUGUGAUUCGUCACACUAUCAUUAACUGAAUCCAUAGGUUAAUGAGGCGAACCGGGGGAACUGAAACAUCUAAGUACCCCGAGGAAAAGAAAUCAACCGAGAUUCCCCCAGUAGCGGCGAGCGAACGGGGAGGAGCCCAGAGCCUGAAUCAGCAUGUGUGUUAGUGGAAGCGUCUGGAAAGGCGCGCGAUACAGGGUGACAGCCCCGUACACAAAAGCGCAUGUGCUGUGAGCUCGAUGAGUAGGGCGGGACACGUGGUAUCCUGUCUGAAUAUGGGGGGACCAUCCUCCAAGGCUAAAUACUCCUGACUGACCGAUAGUGAACCAGUACCGUGAGGGAAAGGCGAAAAGAACCCCGGCGAGGGGAGUGAAAAAGAACCUGAAACCGUGUACGUACAAGCAGUGGGAGCACAGGUUUACC
RNAcentral lists this ribosomal RNA (432 nucleotides) under Salmonella enterica subsp. enterica serovar Newport. RNAcentral's name for it is "partial 23S ribosomal RNA". It matches the Rfam family "Bacterial large subunit ribosomal RNA", at positions 119 to 589 of the family's 2925-position model. RNAcentral also lists the same sequence under 1 other name. Lineage: Bacteria; Pseudomonadati; Pseudomonadota; Gammaproteobacteria; Enterobacterales; Enterobacteriaceae. The record is from RNAcentral.